Molecule: ribosomal RNA, 1206 nt
Filed under: uncultured Acinetobacter sp.
Lineage: Bacteria; Pseudomonadati; Pseudomonadota; Gammaproteobacteria; Moraxellales; Moraxellaceae
Description: bacterial SSU rRNA
Rfam family: Bacterial small subunit ribosomal RNA
Source: RNAcentral
AUGCUUAGGAAUCUGCCUAUUAGUGGGGGACAACAUUCCGAAAGGAAUGCUGAUACCGCAUACGCCCUACGGGGGAAAGCAGGGGAUCUUCAGACCUUGCGCUAAUAGAUGAGCCUAAGUCAGAUUAGCUACGUUGGUGGGGUAAAGGCCUACCAAGGCGACGAUCUGUAGCGGGUCUGAGAGGAUGAUCCGCCACACUGGGACUGAGACACGGCCCAUACUCCUACGGGAGGCAGCAGUGGGGAAUAUUGGACAAUGGGCGAAAGCCUGAUCCUGCCCUGCCGCGUGUGUGAAGAACGCCUUUUGGUUGUAAAGCACUUUAAUCGAGGAGGAGGCUACUUGGAUUAAUACUCUAGGAUAGUGGACGUUACUCGCAGAAUAAGCAGCGGCUAACUCUGUGCCAGCAGCCGAGGUAAUACAUAGGGUGCGAGCGUUAAUCGGAUUUACUGGGCGUAAAGCGUGCGUAGGCGGCUUCUUAAGUCGGAUGUGAAAUCCCUGAGCUUAACUUAGGAAUUGCAUUCGAUACUGGGAAGCUAGAGUAUGGGAGAGGAUGGUAGAAUUCCANGUGUAGCGGUGAAAUGCGNAGAGAUCUGGAGGAAUACCGAUGGCGAAGGCAGCCAUCUGGCCUAAUACUGACGCUGANGUACNAAAGCAUGGGGAGCAAACAGGAUUAGAUACCCUGGUAGUCCAUGCCGUAAACGAUGUCUACUAGCCGUUGGGGCCUUUGAGGCUUUAGUGGCGCAGCUAACGCGAUAAGUAGACCGCCUGGGGAGUACGGUCGCAAGACUAAAACUCAAAUGAAUUGACGGGGGCCCGCACAAGCGGUGGAGCAUGUGGUUUAAUUCGAUGCAACGCGAAGAACCUUACCUGGUCUUGACAUAGUAAGAACUUUCCAGAGAUGGAUUGGUGCCUUCGGGAACUUACAUACAGGUGCUGCAUGGCUGUCGUCAGCUCGUGUCGUGAGAUGUUGGGUUAAGUCCCGCAACGAGCGCAACCCUUUUCCUUAUUUGCCAGCACUUCGGGUGGGAACUUUAAGGAUACUGCCAGUGACAAACUGGAGGAAGGCGGGGACGACGUCAAGUCAUCAUGGCCCUUACGACCAGGGCUACACACGUGCUACAAUGGUCGGUACAAAGGGUUGCUACCUAGCGAUAGGAUGCUAAUCUCAAAAAGCCGAUCGUAGUCCGGAUUGGAGUCUGCAACUCG